AUAUUUGCAUCAUCUGGACUCAAGACUCCAUUCCAUUUUGCAGUGGCCUUUUGCUUUCAACUCAAUCUCAAGAGUGUAAUUAACUUGGAAAUAAAGACAGUGAAACCAGCAGGUGGAGGAGGUGGCUGCCGCUUGUUUCCAAUACAGCAGAGAGAGAGAGAGAGCAGAAGAGCCCCCCAAUCAAAUCCAGCUGACGCGGUGUCCAUCAAUUAAUAACAGAAAGAAGAAGAGGAUCCGGUUGCCACCCAACCACCUCCCC
This 259-nucleotide long non-coding RNA is filed under the name Oryza sativa Indica Group (long-grained rice). RNAcentral's name for it is "lncRNA OsLaMu_05g0002980". The record is from RNAcentral. Lineage: Eukaryota; Viridiplantae; Streptophyta; Magnoliopsida; Poales; Poaceae.